GACGAACGCUGGCGGCGUGCUUAACACAUGCAAGUCGAACGGAAAGGCCCUGCUUUUGUGGGGUGCUCGAGUGGCGAACGGGUGAGUAACACGUGAGUAACCUGCCCUUGACUUUGGGAUAACUUCAGGAAACUGGGGCUAAUACCGGAUAGGAGCUCCUGCUGCAUGGUGGGGGUUGGAAAGUUUCGGCGGUUGGGGAUGGACUCGCGGCUUAUCAGCUUGUUGGUGGGGUAGUGGCUUACCAAGGCUUUGACGGGUAGCCGGCCUGGGGGGGUGACCGGCCAAAUUGGGACGGAGGUACGGGCCAGACUCCUACGGGAGGCAGCAGUGGGGAAUAUUGCACAAUGGGCGGAAGCCUGAUGCAGCAACGCCGCGUGCGGGAUGACGGCCUUCGGGUUGUAAACCGCUUUCGCCUGUGACGAAGCGUGAGUGACGGUAAUGGGUAAAGAAGCACCGGCUAACUACGUG
This 468-nucleotide ribosomal RNA is filed under the name uncultured bacterium. RNAcentral describes it as "partial 16S ribosomal RNA". It matches the Rfam family "Bacterial small subunit ribosomal RNA", at positions 28 to 507 of the family's 1533-position model. The record is from RNAcentral.